AAGACUUUAAGUUAAAUUCAAACUUGUAGCCUUCAAAGUUAUACAUAUCUGACAUAAUCUAGGUAAGUCUUA
This 72-nucleotide transfer RNA is filed under the name Nesophrosyne sp. 21 GMB-2012. RNAcentral's name for it is "tRNA-Trp". Lineage: Eukaryota; Metazoa; Arthropoda; Insecta; Hemiptera; Cicadellidae. The record is from RNAcentral.